UCAUAUCAUACUGAAAUGCUAGUUCUCAUAUGAUCACCCAGGUUAAGCAACACUGAGCCUGAUCAGUACCUUCAUGGGUAACUGCUUAGGAAUACCAGGUGCUGUAAG
Acanthosepion pharaonis is the source of this 108-nucleotide non-coding RNA. The record is from the annotation of a GenBank genome assembly. Lineage: Eukaryota; Metazoa; Mollusca; Cephalopoda; Sepiida; Sepiidae.